GAUGAACGCUAGCGACAGGCUUAACACAUGCAAGUCGAGGUGCAGCAUAGAAGUAGCAAUACUUUGGUGGCGACCGGCGCACGGGUGAGUAACGCGUAUGCAACCUACCUAUCAGAGGGGAAUAACCCGGCGAAAGUCGGACUAAUACCGCAUAAAACAGGGGCACCGCAUGGUGAUAUUUGUUAAAGAAAUUCGCUGAUAGAUGGGCAUGCGUUCCAUUAGGUAGUUGGUGAGGUAACGGCUAACCAAGCCGACGAUGGAUAGGGGAACUGGGAGGUUGGUCCCCCUCACUGGUACUGAGCAACGGACCAGACUCCUACGGGAGGCAGCAGUGAGGAAUAUUGGUCAAUGGGCGGGAGCCUGAACCAGCCAAGUCGCGUGAGGGAAGAAGGAUCUAUGGUUCGUAAACUUCUUUUGCAGGGGAAUAAAGUGCAGGACGUGUCCUGUUUUGUAUGUACCCUGAGAAUAAGGAUCGGCUAACUCCGUGCCAGCCGCCGCUGUAA
This 503-nucleotide ribosomal RNA is filed under the name uncultured bacterium. RNAcentral describes it as "partial 16S ribosomal RNA". It matches the Rfam family "Bacterial small subunit ribosomal RNA", at positions 28 to 523 of the family's 1533-position model. The record is from RNAcentral.